AACGAACGCUGGCGGCAUGCCUAACACAUGCAAGUCGAACGAGACCUUCGGGUCUAGUGGCGCACGGGUGCGUAACGCGUGGGAACCUGCCCUUAGGUUCGGAAUAACUCCCUGAAAGGGGUGCUAAUACCGGAUAAUGUCUUCGGACCAAAGAUUUAUCGCCUUUGGAUGGGCCCGCGUUGGAUUAGCUAGUUAGUAGGGUAAAAGCCUACCAAGGCGACGAUCCAUAGCUGGUCUGAGAGGAUGAUCAGCCACACUGGGAGUGAGACACGGCCCAGACUCCUACGGGAGGCAGCAGUGAGGAAUAUUGGACAAUGGGCGAAAGCCUGAUCCAGCAAUGCCGCGUGAGUGAUGAAGGUCUUAGGGUUGUAAAGCUCUUUUACCCGGGAUGAUAAUGACAGUACCGGGAGAAUAAGCGCCGGCUAACUCCGUG
This 433-nucleotide ribosomal RNA is filed under the name uncultured bacterium. RNAcentral's name for it is "partial 16S ribosomal RNA". It matches the Rfam family "Bacterial small subunit ribosomal RNA", at positions 29 to 507 of the family's 1533-position model. The record is from RNAcentral.